RNAcentral lists this transfer-messenger RNA (399 nucleotides) under Bacteroidales. Its description in RNAcentral is "UBA12077 sp013138975 Standard tmRNA". It matches the Rfam family "transfer-messenger RNA". Rfam says of the family: Bacterial tmRNA, also known as 10Sa RNA or SsrA, is named for its dual tRNA and mRNA-like properties. Its role is to liberate the mRNA from a stalled ribosome. The record is from RNAcentral. RNAcentral also lists the same sequence under 1 other name. Lineage: Bacteria; Pseudomonadati; Bacteroidota; Bacteroidia.
GGGGCUGCUUUGGUUUUGACGGUUUGGUAAAUUGGAAUGUAAGCAUGUUGAGCUUUGUAUUUUGGCUCGUAAAUCUCAAGGUACACAACAAUAAACGGCGAAAAUAACUACGCACUUGCUGCUUAAUAUUGCUCAGCAAUAUAAGCUUAAUCCCACGUCUAGGACAUAGGGACAGGUUGUCUCUCUUAGAGCCUUGUUUAACGGCGCUUUGAUUUUGAGGCAUCGUAAAUGUUAAACUAGUUUAGUUAGAGCUUUGAUAACUAAGCGAAAUUAAAAAGCUAAGGUUUGGUUCGGCUGCUUUUUGCCAGACUAAGCACAAAAAUCAAUAAAAAGAUAAACAUGUAGAAAGCAUUUUGGUUCCUUAUUCGGACGCGGGUUCGAGUCCCGCCAGCUCCACUG